Molecule: non-coding RNA, 390 nt
Organism: Notechis scutatus (mainland tiger snake)
Lineage: Eukaryota; Metazoa; Chordata; Lepidosauria; Squamata; Elapidae
Source: RefSeq, a predicted model, not a curated record
AGGUGUUUCUCACAGGACAUCCGUGUAAAAACUUCCAGGUGAUUAUCGCUUACACGAUGCUUCAGAUGGUGAGAGACCAGAUCCUCAGAGAAGACCUGGAAGAAGAGGAGAUCUUGAUGCUGUGCCAUAGCAUUGUAGACCUGGAUGCCGAUGACUUGAUCGCCAGAGCCUGCAACAUAUAUGAACUCUUCCUGAAACAUGAAGACAAGGUUCCAGAAGAUCUCAAGGAAUAUUUCAGCCAGCCUUAGCAACAAAGAGGCCGUGCUAUAAAUCAAGAGGCUGCUACAACAAAGCAGCAUGAGCGUUACAGAAUAGAUAGAAUUGAAAGGUAGAAAGAUCGUAAAUACUGUUCACCUAAGACUGGAUUCACCAAAUUAGAUUAUCUGAGGG